RNAcentral lists this long non-coding RNA (1706 nucleotides) under Brachypodium distachyon (stiff brome). RNAcentral describes it as "long non-coding RNA (BDIS_LNC000135)". The record is from RNAcentral. Lineage: Eukaryota; Viridiplantae; Streptophyta; Magnoliopsida; Poales; Poaceae.
UGGGCUCGGGUUUGGCCGAGUUUUUAGCAGUGUUCAACGUGGAGUGUAAUUCUAUUGUUCGUAAGAUUAAUAUAAGGGAAACGACUGUUUCCGCCCGACCGAUCACGUGCGUAGUUCCGCCGUCUCCCGCGCUCGACACGUGGUUUCUUAUCCGAAAAAAAUUCAGCGUUCCGUGUGGGUCCCACCCACGUCUUUUCCCUUAUCGUCUCCUCUCCUUCGCUUCUUUCUCCAGAAAAAUCUCCCCCGAUCAUCUAAAUUCCUCCCAUCGCUGUUGUCCCGAUAAUCUAGAUUCCUCCCGUCGCUACUGUCGCAUGGAAGUUACAAACACCAUGGCUCCGUCGGCGGUGCUAGGAGAGUUGGCCGGCGAUGCUACGACCGGCAGCCAGCGGUGCUAGGAGAGGCGAGGCAGGGUGGCGAUGCUGCAAGAGACGACUGGCUGUGUUGUGAGGAGAGGCCGGCGGUGCUGCGAGGGGCGGUCGGCGGUGCAGCAAGGCGGAGAGGUCGCGGUGGCGACCGACGACUGCCGGGGCUGCUGCAAGCGGAGGCCGGCGAUGCUCCGACCAGCAACCGGCGGUGCUACAAGGUGGGGGGGGGGGGGGGGGGGGCGUUGCGGCGAAUCGCGGCCGUCGGGGCUCCUGCAAGCAGCGACCGACGGUGCUGCAAGCGACGACCGGCCGUGCUGCAAGUGGAGUCCGGCAACCAGCAGUGCUACAAGGCGGGGAGGGGGAGCGAUGGCGAUUGCCGACAGGUGCUGCUUUGAACGGUAGCAUGCAGAUCUGCGAUCGACGGCGGUGGUGCUUUGAACGACGGCAGGCGGGACUGAGGACGACGGCCGGCGCUGCUGCGACGGACGGCGGCAGAACCAGAGGCGCCGGGGCGAAUGUCGGCUGGCACCGCUACGACCGACCGCUGCGGUACUUCAAACGGAGGCUAACGAUGCUGCGACCCGCGACCAACAGUGCUUCGAAUGUGGGCCGGUGGUGCUGCGACCAGCGGCCAAUUCUGCUUCGAACGGAGUUUAGAUGAGAGCGAACUUGUGGGAUGAGGCUUGAUGAACGGUUGGGGAGGGCGCCGAUCCUUGCGCUCGUUCCGCCCGGCCGACGUCUAGCGUCGCCCUUAAUAUAAACGCCUUUCUCCUGCCCCCCACCAAAAAAAAAGGUUCAUGUAUGAAAAAUGGACGUAUUACUUGCAUCUUAUGUUAGUGUAUAUAACACAAAAUCAUUGGUACAUUUUGGUCCACACAUCAUACACAUGAAUUUUAACAUUCUUUACUCCAUGCGGGCUGGACAUCCUGUUGCCACAGAAGUAGGGCACGACACAUUUGCUUAAGCUUACUUGUGAGAAUCAGUCAAAAACCAUAAGUCCCUUAAAUAGUGCUAUAUAUAGCAAUUUGAAAAGCAUGAGUAGUGGGUUUGCAUUGACGAAAUGUAGCGUGUGGUAGAAGGCAAAUAUUCCAUUUUCUUUACUCAUAGUCAUUCGUUUACAACCAUCCAUCACCUCUUUUCCUACUGUAAGGGAAAACAGAGAUAACUCCUUUCCUCCUUCUAAUUCAAACAAUAAUCUACUCAGAUGGUACCACUAAUAUAUACAAUUGUUCUAUCCACAGCAACACACAGCUACAGAGCUAGCAUACAAGAUAGAAGAUACUGAAAUAUGUCAAGACCAUCUUUGGAGUUCAGAAAUCUCCUAUAGAUUGCUUCAAGAAU